GGGGGCGACAUGGCUUCGACAUGGGUCGCGAAACCUUCGGUGCAUGUAGAGGUGUAGAGUUCCUCUUAAAUCCAGCUACAACAGUUAUAGUUGCAAACGACGAUAACUACGCACUAGCAGCCUAGAGCCGCUAGGGUCUCACCAGAGUUGUUCAUGGCUUCGGAAUCGAGAUCUCAUUAAACAUGAAAUCGCCAGUUGUUCGUGUCGAUUGAACAGCGGUUAAAACGCAAGUCGACUCACCUGCGAAUGUGUGCGUUUGUCCAGACAUCAAAGGCUAAAUUAAAGACAGACUAAACAUGUAGAUCCGUUGAGCGGAGGGCUUGUGGACGCGGGUUCGAUCCCCGCCGCCUCCACCA
RNAcentral lists this transfer-messenger RNA (356 nucleotides) under Gammaproteobacteria bacterium. It matches the Rfam family "transfer-messenger RNA". From Rfam's summary of the family: Bacterial tmRNA, also known as 10Sa RNA or SsrA, is named for its dual tRNA and mRNA-like properties. Its role is to liberate the mRNA from a stalled ribosome. Lineage: Bacteria; Pseudomonadati; Pseudomonadota; Gammaproteobacteria. The record is from RNAcentral.